RNAcentral lists this ribosomal RNA (630 nucleotides) under uncultured Methylobacter sp. RNAcentral describes it as "bacterial SSU rRNA". It matches the Rfam family "Bacterial small subunit ribosomal RNA", at positions 202 to 820 of the family's 1533-position model. The record is from RNAcentral. Lineage: Bacteria; Pseudomonadati; Pseudomonadota; Gammaproteobacteria; Methylococcales; Methylococcaceae.
AGGGGACCUUCGGGCCUUUCGCUAACAGAUGAGCCUGCGUUGGAUUAGCUAGUUGGUGGGGUAAGGGCCCACCAAGGCGACGAUCCAUAGCUGGUCUGAGAGGACGAUCAGCCACACUGGGACUGAGACACGGCCCAGACUCCUACGGGAGGCAGCAGUGGGGAAUAUUGGACAAUGGGCGAAAGCCUGAUCCAGCAAUACCGCGUGUGUGAAGAAGGCCUUAGGGUUGUAAAGCACUUUCAAUUGGGAGGAAAACCUGCCGGCCAAUACCCGGUAGCUUGACAUUACCUUUAGAAGAAGCACCGGCUAACUCCGUGCCAGCAGCCGCGGUAAUACGGAGGGUGCGAGCGUUAAUCGGAAUUACUGGGCGUAAAGCGUGCGUAGGCGGUUCGUUAAGUCAGAUGUGAAAGCCCUGGGCUCAACCUGGGAACUGCAUUUGAAACUGGCGGACUAGAGUUUAGUAGAGGGGAGUGGAAUUUCAGGUGUAGCGGUGAAAUGCGUAGAUAUCUGAAGGAACACCAGUGGCGAAGGCGACUCCCUGGACUAGAACUGACGUUGAGGUACGAAAGCGUGGGUAGCAGACAGGAUUAGAUACCCUGGUAGUCCACGCCGUAAACGAUGUCGACUAGC